This 695-nucleotide ribosomal RNA is filed under the name Clostridioides difficile. RNAcentral describes it as "bacterial LSU rRNA". It matches the Rfam family "Bacterial large subunit ribosomal RNA", at positions 1769 to 2462 of the family's 2925-position model. Lineage: Bacteria; Bacillati; Bacillota; Clostridia; Peptostreptococcales; Peptostreptococcaceae. The record is from RNAcentral.
UCAGGUGGCCGCAGAGAAUAGGCCCAAGCGACUGUUUACCAAAAACAUAGGUUUCUGCUAAGUCGCAAGACGAUGUAUAGGAGCUGACGCCUGCCCGGUGCUGGAAGGUUAAGGGGAUCUGUUAGAGCAAUCGAAGCAGUGAACUUAAGCCCCAGUAAACGGCGGCCGUAACUAUAACGGUCCUAAGGUAGCGAAAUUCCUUGUCGGGUAAGUUCCGACCCGCACGAAAGGCGUAACGAUUUGGGCACUGUCUCAACAACAGACUCGGUGAAAUUGUAAUUCCGGUGAAGAUGCCGGAUACCUGCGACAGGACGGAAAGACCCCAUGGAGCUUUACUGUAGCUUGACAUUGGGUCUUGGUACUACAUGUACAGGAUAGGUGGGAGGCUUUGAAACCAGGACGCCAGUUUUGGCGGAGCCAUCCUUGGGAUACCACCCUUGUAGUACUGGGACUCUAACCAUAGGCCAUGAAUCUGGUCUUGGGACACUGUCAGGUGGGCAGUUUGACUGGGGCGGUCGCCUCCCAAAAGGUAACGGAGGCGCUCAAAGGUUCUCUCAGUACGGUCGGAAAUCGUACGUAGAGUGUAAAGGCAAAAGAGAGCUUGAUUGCAAGACAUACAGGUCGAGCAAGGAUGAAAAUCGGACUUAGUGAGCCGGUGGGGCUGGGUGGAAGGGCCAUCGCUGAACGGAUAAAAG